RNAcentral lists this transfer RNA (87 nucleotides) under Candidatus Margulisiibacteriota bacterium. RNAcentral's name for it is "tRNA-Leu". It matches the Rfam family "tRNA". Rfam says of the family: Transfer RNA (tRNA) molecules are approximately 80 nucleotides in length. Lineage: Bacteria; Bacillati; Candidatus Margulisiibacteriota. The record is from RNAcentral.
GCCGAGGUGGCGGAAUUGGCAGACGCACUAGAUUCAGGUUCUAGCGAGGUCACACUCUUGCAGGUUCAAGUCCUGUCCUCGGCACCA